Molecule: long non-coding RNA, 1072 nt
Organism: Perognathus longimembris pacificus (Pacific pocket mouse)
Lineage: Eukaryota; Metazoa; Chordata; Mammalia; Rodentia; Heteromyidae
Exons: 4
Source: RefSeq, a predicted model, not a curated record
CCAAAGGGGACCACGGGGAGGACGGAAUGCGACCGCUUGAUCCGCCAGGCCCCAGGCUGCAAGGUACGCAGACAGGGAGGAUGGUGCUCUUGUGAGUCAAACCUGAGCCUGACUCUUUCUCAGCCCCCAGGUCCCCGGGCUUCUCAGCUCUUCUGCCCAGUUCGCAAAGCUGCCUCGUGCCCCGUCCUUGGGGCCAGGGGAUUGGUGUCUGGCUGCUCCUGCUGGCUCUCUGCUCCUCAGCCCCGUCUGCAGUCAUGAUGAAGACAUCCACUUUGCUGGCACUGGUUUCUGUAGCUGGUGGCCUACCACUUCCCUGGCCUUGUCAAGACUCAGAUCCCUACCUGAAGUACCCGGGUCCCAGCAGCUGCUCUCCGUUUCUGUCCUCAUCCCCAGGAUCAUAAGGGAAAAUCUCAUCCAGACGGGCUGAGCGUGGUUCAGGAGUUGCCGGGUAUGCUAAUCACCGUCAUCACCCAGCCUAGAGAAGCCCAGGGCUGCCCUCACCUGUCUAUUCUUCAGCUUGUCUGGCAGCGAUGACUGAGGGCCAUGCAUGUUCUCAGUGCCUUGGAGGGAAACCUGCAGCCGUGUGACCCGCCCAGGAGACAGUGACCCGGCCUCUCGCCAUCUGCCCUGUUCAGCUGCCCACUGGAGCCCAGGACCUGAAUGGCCCCUGUCUAACCCCAUAGACACAGGCUGGAAGGGGGCGGCUACUGGCCUGCCUGUGGGUUCCCAUAGCCCGAGCCUGAUGGCUUGCUUCCUUGUGCCAAGUCUCCCAGAGCCCCCAAUUCUGCUGGUGCCUCUCAUCCACCAGGGAGCACCUCUGGGCAGCUGUCAGCUUCUGGCCUGACCCAUCCCCUCAGGCCCCUUGUGAGGGACAAGAAAGCCAAAGUCACGGGCCUCCAGAAUUGGCAAUGUGCUUCCAAAUCCUGCCUUUAUCCUCUGGGCAGCUGCCUGCUUUGCUCCAGCCUCUUCCUACAGCAGCCAGGAAAGGGGAAGGCCCAUCAUCUAGUAUCCCUGCAUGUUCGCAAUGCCAGUGGGAAUGUGUGAGCAUGGGUGUGUGUGUGAGUGCAUGUUU